AUGGCAAAAAAGUGGGUAGUCAACGCUAAGGCGCCUAGGCAGCAUGCUACAAACUGCACUACGAUGAUUUCUGUACUUGACAAACUUGAGGAGGCUCGCCCUCUUUCCUCCCUACAACUUAAACUGCGCAUUGCAGUAAAAGUCGCCUUACAUCGUCUUAACAAACUUCUAGCUGCGUACUGGCGCCAGCGAGCAAAAAUUAGAGAGUGCACUCUCGGAGACGAAAAUUCAGCUUACAUGCAUGUGUGUGCUUCUGUCCGUUUUCGCAAAAAUAAAAUUCCCAGUCUGCAUGUCAAUGGGACGGACGUGACCUCCCAUAAUGGAAAAGCUGCCGUGCUGCACGACUACUUCAGCUGUCUACUAGGAACUCAAGCUCCAUCUGUAAUUAAUUUUGAUCUCGAUAACCUCUUGCUUGGCUCUAAACUAACCACUUCUCAAGCUCUGUCGCUCACUAGGCCUUUCUCUCUGGACGAAAUUAGAUUAGCUAUUCUGAGCACGAACAUAAAUGCGAGACCAGGGCCGGACGGCUUCGGACCAGCCUUUUUUAAAGUUAAUUGGGAUCUUAUCAAGCUUGACUUGCUCAACCUCAUGAAUGAUUUUCAUAAGGGCUGCGCGGAGUUAGCCAGGAUCAACAAAGCCUUCAUUGUGCUUCUUCCAAAAAAAGUUGGAGCUACGACCCCCGACAACUUCAGGCCGGUUUCCCUGCAAAAUUGUGUCAUCAAGAUCAGCUCAAAGUGUCUGGCCACUAGAGCUCAACCUUUUAUCUCCUCAAUCAUUCACCAGGACCAAUCCGGUUUUAUUAAAGGGAGAGGUACCGCUGAUAAUUUUUUAUAUGCUGCUGAUAUUGUUCAAACUUGCUUCAAACGAAAAAAAUCGGCUAUCGUUCUAAAACUAGACUUCCGCAAGGCUUUUGACUCCGUGUCUUGGGCGGCCUUGUCUGCCAUUAUGAGAGCGAAGGGCUUCCCGCCGGUGUGGUGUGAUUGGAUUCAUAAUCUUAAUCAGACUAGCCAGUCGGCUGUGCUCCUUAAUGGUAAACCUGGCCCAUGGAUCAACUGCAGACAGGGGCUUCGCCAAGGCGACUCGCUCUCUCCUUAUCUCUUCAUUAUUGUAGCCGAUGUGUUGCAACGUCCGAUCCUUCAGGCAUCCGCUAAUGGCCUUCUAUCUCACCCGAUCGAUCCGAGCAUUCCUUGCCCUGUUCUACAGUAUGCUGACGACACCCUUAUCAUUCUGCAAGCUGACCAUGACCAACUUCAAACUCUAAAAUCUAUCCUUCUUGAAUUCUCAAACGCCACGGGUCUGGUGAUUAAUUUUCACAAAAGCACGUUUGCUCCCAUUCAUGUUGAUCCGGAUCUCGCAUCUCAACGUGCAGCUAGUUUUGGCUGCGCGGUUGCAUCGUUCCCUCAAUCCUACCUUGGCCUUCCCCUCUCCACUCACAAAUUAAACCUAAAAGAUUUAUUCUUCAUUAUUGACAAGAUUGAUCGUCGUCUCGCGGGUUGGCGAGGUGUUCUCCUCACCCUAGCAGGCCGUGCUGUUUUGGUUAGGACAGUGCUUAGAGCCUUACCAAUCUAUGCCAUGACCGCUCUCCUGCUUCCUAUGGGUAUUGUCCAGAAAAUCGAUAAACGUUGUCGGGCCUUUUUCUGGGCGGGUCAGGAUAAGGUUUCGGGCGGACAGUGUAAAGUGGCUUGGGAAUUUGUAUGUGCGCCGUUCUCUCGAGGGGGUCUAGGUUUUUCUUCUCUGCACCACCUAAACUCUUGCCUAUUGCUUUCCCACCUAAAUAAGCUUCACUCAACAUUUGCUUCUGGGGCUCGCUCCCACCUUGCUGUCAAGUAUGGAUGGUCAGAUAACCGGGACCUUGAUACUCCUCACCCUUUUGAAUCUAGCGUUUGGCAUGAUAUGGCCAAGGGGCUUGAAUUUUUCCGUUCAAUUACGAAGGUGCAUGUUGGCAAUGGUAUGACCACCGCCUUUUGGCUGGACCUUUGGGUUCAAAACUCCACCCAAAAUCUCGCAACAAUUUUCCCUGCUCUCUUCUCCCAUUCGCUCCGACCCUCGGCCACUGUUGCCCGGGUACUAAGCAUUCCUACUUUUAAUCUGGAUUUGGCACCGCGCCUUUCUCAUGUCGCUGAGCUGGAACUUGAAAACCUACGCGCUAUGCUGGCAACUGUCUCCUUGAAUGUGCAGGUUCUUGACAAACGAAUUGGACGUAUCGACGGCAAGCCGCUGGCUUGCAACUCGGCUUACAAGGCUAUUUGGAGCAACAAGCCAAUCGACUACUUCGCUCCGGCCAUUUGGAAAAAUUAUGCACCCAACAAAUGCAGAAUUUUUCUAUGGCUCGCAAGUAAAAAUCGACUCUUCACCAACGAAAGAUGCUUCAACAGGGGCAUAUCUGACUCCAACUGCUGCCCGUUCUGCCCAGCCUCUGAAUCAACGAGUCACCUAUUCCUUCAAUGCCCCGAUCUUCGCCCUCUUUGGCAGGAACUGAGCUCUCUUUCUGCUUCAGUACCGUCGGACUUUCAGCAUCUUUGGGGCAUGGACCUGGCCAACAGACCACGAUCAACGGUCAUCAUUGCUAUUCUCUGGAAUAUCUGGAAAAGAAGAAAUGCAAAAGUUUUUAGGCAGGAUUUGCAACCUAUACACCUCAUCGCCCGCUCAGCUGCAGACGACCUCAUGCUUUGGUCCAAUAGAUGCUCCAAUGAGCAGGCCGUGAACCUUCUGCGUGAUUGGUGUACUAUGUUGUUCCACUUGUCUAUGAGAUUGUAA
RNAcentral lists this ribosomal RNA (2757 nucleotides) under Triticum aestivum (bread wheat). RNAcentral describes it as "partial small subunit ribosomal RNA". Lineage: Eukaryota; Viridiplantae; Streptophyta; Magnoliopsida; Poales; Poaceae. The record is from RNAcentral.